AACGAACGCUGGCGGCAGGCUUAACACAUGCAAGUCGAACGGUUGUAGCAAUACAGCAGUGGCAGACGGGUGAGUAACACGUGGGAACCUUCCUAGGGGUACGGAACAACUCAGGGAAACUUGAGCUAAUACCGUAUACGUCCGUGAGGAGAAAGAUUUAUCGCCCUUAGACGGGCCCGCGUCGGAUUAGCUAGUUGGUGGGGUAACGGCCUACCAAGGCGACGAUCCGUAGCUGAUCUUAGAGGAUGAUCAGCCACACUGGGACUGAGACACGGGCCAGGCUCCUACGGGAGGCAGCAGUGGGGAAUCUUGGAACAUGGGCGCAAGCCUGAACCAGCCCUGCCGCGUGAGUGAAGAAGGUCUUCGGAUUGUAAAGCUCUUUUGCCAGGGACGAUAAUGACGGUACCUGGAGAAUAAGCCCCGGCAAACUUCGUGCCAGCCGCCGCCGUAA
RNAcentral lists this ribosomal RNA (451 nucleotides) under uncultured bacterium. RNAcentral describes it as "partial 16S ribosomal RNA". It matches the Rfam family "Bacterial small subunit ribosomal RNA", at positions 29 to 523 of the family's 1533-position model. The record is from RNAcentral.